GAUGAACGCUGGCGGCGUGCCUAAUACAUGCAAGUCGAGCGAACAGACGAGGAGCUUGCUCCUCUGACGUUAGCGGCGGACGGGUGAGUAACACGUGGAUAACCUACCUAUAAGACUGGGAUAACUUCGGGAAACCGGAGCUAAUACCGGAUAAUAUAAUGAACCGCAUGGUUCAAUAGUGAAAGACGGUUUUGCUGUCACUUAUAGAUGGAUCCGCGCCGCAUUAGCUAGUUGGUAAGGUAACGGCUUACCAAGGCGACGAGGCGUAGCCGACCUGAGAGGGUGAUCGGCCACACUGGAACUGAGACACGGUCCAGACUCCUACGGGAGGCAGCAGUAGGGAAUCUUCCGCAAUGGGCGAAAGCCUGACGGAGCAACGCCGCGUGAGUGAUGAAGGUCUUCGGAUCGUAAAACUCUGUUAUUAGGGAAGAACAAAUGUGUAAGUAACUAUGCACGUCUUGACGGUACCUAAUCAGAAAGCCACGGCUAACUACGUG
RNAcentral lists this ribosomal RNA (497 nucleotides) under uncultured bacterium. RNAcentral describes it as "partial 16S ribosomal RNA". It matches the Rfam family "Bacterial small subunit ribosomal RNA", at positions 28 to 507 of the family's 1533-position model. The record is from RNAcentral.